Molecule: ribosomal RNA, 440 nt
Filed under: uncultured bacterium
Lineage: Bacteria
Description: partial 16S ribosomal RNA
Rfam family: Bacterial small subunit ribosomal RNA
Source: RNAcentral
CCUACGGGUGGCAGCAGUAGGGAAUAUUGCCCAAUGGGGGAAACCCUGAAGCAGCAACGCCGCGUGGAGGAUGAAGGUUUUCGGAUUGUUAACUCCUUUUGUUAGAGAAGAUAAUGACGGUAUCUAACGAAUAAGCACUGGCUAACUCCGUGCCAGCAGCCGCGGUAAUACGGAGGGUGCAAGCGUUACUCGGAAUCACUGGGCGUAAAGAGCGCGUAGGCGGGAUAGCAAGUCAGAUGUGAAAUCGUAUGGCUUAACCAUAGAACUGCAUUUGAAACUGGUAUUCUAGAGUAUGGGAGAGGUAGGUGGAAUUCUUGGUGUAGGGGUAAAAUCCGUAGAGAUCAAGAGGAAUACUCAUUGCGAAGGCGACCUGCUAGAACAUAACUGACGCUGAUGCGCGAAAGCGUGGGGAGCAAACAGGAUUAGAUACCCGAGUAGUC